UUUUAUAUAGUUUAAUAAAACAUUUUAUUUUCAUUAAAAAAAUGACUAUAACUUAGUCUGUAAAUA
Molecule: transfer RNA, 66 nt
Filed under: Nesophrosyne sp. 246 GMB-2012
Lineage: Eukaryota; Metazoa; Arthropoda; Insecta; Hemiptera; Cicadellidae
Description: tRNA-Glu
Source: RNAcentral